AGUCAUAUGCUAAUCUAAAAGAUUAAGCCAUGCAUGUCUAAGUAUAAACACGAAUUGUACGGUAAAACUGCAGAUGGCUCAUUAAAACAGUAAUAAUUUAUUUGACAAUUGAAAUAUUACACGGAUAACCGUGGUAACUCCAGGGCUAAUACGUGACAAAAACUUUUCGGGAUUCGGUUACCGUAGAGUGUGCAUAUUAGCUUUAAAACCAGCGAUGGUUGAAUAAUAAUAUUCUGUCGGAUCGCGUUGGCUCCGCCAGCGACGUGUCAUUCAAGUUUCUGCCCUAUCAGCUUCGACGGUAGGGUAUUGGCCUACCGUGGCAUUGACGGGUACGGGGAAUCGGGGUUCGAUUCCGGAGAGGCAGCCUGAGAAACGGCUACCACAUCCAUGGAAGGCAGCAGGUGCGAAAAUUGCCCAAUCCUAACCCAGGGAGGCAGUGACCAGAAAUAACGAUUCUCAGCCUCUAUAGGUUGUAAUUCGGAAUGAGUACACCGUAAAACUCUUAACAAUAACCAAGUGGAGGGCAAGCCUGGUGCCAGCAGCCGCGGUAAUACCAGCUCCACUAGCGUAUACUAAAGUUGUUGCUGUUAAAACGCUCCUAGUUGGAUGUCAGCCGGGGGUGGCAUGGCCCGGCCGCGUUGCGCCGCGCCAAAGCGGUUUUCCGCCGCCGCCUCGGCUUUUUCAGGAGUGCCGGUCUGCCCAUUAACUUGGGUCGGGCCGGCGUGCUCUGAUCUUUUACUUUGAGAAAAUUAGAGUGCUCAAAGCAGGCUUCGCUGAAUGCAUAUCAUGGAAUAAUAAAACACGACUUUGGACCCCGCCAAACAUGUUCCAUUUAUGGGGCUUGGGCGGCGGGGAGUUUUGUUGGUUUUGGGCCAAAGUAAUGAUUGAUAGGAACAACCGGGGGUGCUAGUAUCGCCGGGCCAGAGGUAAAAUUCUAUGAUCCCGGUGAGACUACCGUAUGCGAAAGCACUCGCCAAGCGUGUUUUCUUUAAUCAAGAACCACAGCUGGGGGAGCGAAGACGAUCAGAUACCGUCGUAGUCCCACGCCAUAAACGAUGUCGACUAAGUAUUGGGCAUGAUAGACUUCCCCAGCACUUUAUGAGAAAUCAAAGUUUUCGGACUCAGGGGGAAGUAUGCUUGCAAGAGUGAAAUUUAAAGGAAUUGACGGAAAGGCACCACCAGUAGUGGAGCCUGCGGCUCAAUUUGACUCAACACGGGGAAACUUACCAGGCCAGGACAUAGUGAGGAUUGACAGAUUAAAGUUCUUUCUUGAUUCUAUGAAUAGUAGCGCAUGGCCGUUCUUAGUUGGUGGAGUGAUUUGUCUGGUUAAUUCCGAUAACGAACGAGACCCCAGCCAUCUAACUAGCCGUCGCUAGCCCGCUAGCGCUUGGUACCAAGUUCGGCUUCUUAGAGGGACUAACUGUGUUUAGCAGUGGGAAGCGUGGGGCAAUAACAGGUCAGUGAUGCUCUUAUAAGGUCUGGGCUGCACGCGUGCUACAAUGGUGCAUCCAGCGAGUUCAACCUUCCCCGAAAGGGAUGGGUAACCUUUAACGUGCACCAAAGUGGGGAUAGACGAUUGUAAUUGUUCGUCUUGAACUAGGAACUCCUAGUAAACGCAAGUCAUCAUCUUGCAUUGAUUACGUCCCUGCCCUUUGUACACACCGCCCGUCGCUUCUACCGAUCGAAUAAUGCGGUGAACUGAGUGGAGGCCGGCCCUUCUUUUGUUGUGCUGGCUUAAGCUUCGUGAACCUCUAUAUUUAGAGGAAGAACAAGUCGUAACAAGGUAUCC
This 1789-nucleotide ribosomal RNA is filed under the name Haplosporidium lusitanicum. RNAcentral's name for it is "SSU rRNA". It matches the Rfam family "Eukaryotic small subunit ribosomal RNA". Lineage: Eukaryota; Endomyxa; Ascetosporea; Haplosporida; Haplosporidiidae. The record is from RNAcentral.